RNAcentral lists this ribosomal RNA (253 nucleotides) under uncultured bacterium. RNAcentral's name for it is "partial 16S ribosomal RNA". It matches the Rfam family "Bacterial small subunit ribosomal RNA", at positions 524 to 776 of the family's 1533-position model. The record is from RNAcentral.
UACGUAGGGACCAAGCGUUGUUCGGAUUUACUGGGCGUAAAGGGCGCGUAGGCGGCAUGACAAGUCACUUGUGAAAUCUCCGGGCUUAACUCGGAACGGUCAAGUGAUACUGUCGCGCUAGAGUGCGGAAGGGGCAAUCAGAAUUCUUGGUGUAGCGGUGAAAUGCGUAGAUAUCGGAAGGAACAUCAGUGGCGAAAGCGACUUCCUGGACCAAUACUGACGCUCAUGUGCGAAAGCGUGGGGAGCAAACAGG